GAUGAACGCUGGCGGCGUGCCUAAUACAUGCAAGUCGAGCGAACAGAUGAGGAGCUUGCUCCUCUGACGUUAGCGGCGGACGGGUGAGUAACACGUGGAUAACCUACCUAUAAGACUGGGAUAACUUCGGGAAACCGGAGCUAAUACCGGAUAAUAUAUUGAACCGCAUGGUUCAAUAGUGAAAGACGGUUUUGCUGUCACUUAUAGAUGGAUCCGCGCCGCAUUAGCUAGUUGGUAAGGUAACGGCUUACCAAGGCAACGAUGCGUAGCCGACCUGAGAGGGUGAUCGGCCACACUGGAACUGGGACACGGUCCAGAGUCCUACGGGAGGCAGCAGUAGGGAAUCUUCCGCAAUGGGCGAAAGCCUGACGGAGCAACGCCGCGUGAGUGAUGAAGGUCUUCGGAUCGUAAAACUCUGUUAUUAGGGAAGAACAAAUGUGUAAGUAACUAUGCACGUCUUGACGGUACCUAGUCAGAAAGCCACGGCUAACUACGUG
This 497-nucleotide ribosomal RNA is filed under the name uncultured bacterium. RNAcentral's name for it is "partial 16S ribosomal RNA". It matches the Rfam family "Bacterial small subunit ribosomal RNA", at positions 28 to 507 of the family's 1533-position model. The record is from RNAcentral.